AAAUGUCAAGCAAGUUACGCUAAAUAUCAGGUCAAAGGUAAUCGAGGCCUUAAGUAAUUGGCUUCGCUCUGACGAAGGGCUAACGCUCGAAACGUCAGCUUGUAAAAUAUCUACGUUAUCAACUCCUUGAUAAUACAAAAUUACCCUGUUAUACUCUCCCACCGACGCAGCACCACAGUUUCUUCAGAAACUAACCUCCCUUAGUAAGUUUAUUCAUAGUUUGUGUAAGUAUUUCCGCUCAAGUGACCGUUCAAUACAUGUGAAAGACAGUGUAAACAGGCUGUUGGGUUCAGUCAUGGGUGACCACGACCGCUUAAUAGAGAUGACCGCUUAGUAGAGGUGAAAGUUACAGUACUUGAGGGAAAAAGCCAAAAAUUUUCCUUGAAAACCGACCGCUAAAUACAGGGUAAUUGCGUGAUAUAGUGCCGCUAAAUACAGGUUCGAAUAAAGUUCUAAGCUGGAAAUUCUUUGUUUCCCAACCACUUAUCAUCAAAAAUAGACAGGAGGGUGACAAAUAUGCAAACAAAUAAUAUUAAAACUGUGAAUGUGGAGAUGGCCCGAAAACUUACUUCCUGUAAAACAGAACUAAGAAAAAGUUAUAGUAAUUCAAAACAAAACAUUCUCAGUAAGAUAAGGAAAAAACCAUAUAUAUUGAAUUAAAAAAACAUCUUUGCACUUGUCUUCAGAAUAUCUGUACUUAAAAGAUGACCAGAGUGCCAUAAAAAACAUCCAUAUCGUCAUUUGGUUUAUUAAUAUCAUUACAUCUUACAAAAGAACUGAGCUGAAACAUCCUAUCUGCAAAGAUAUUAACAUCAACAGUCUUCAGUUCUAAAUCCUUUGUAGUGUUUUCUUACACGCAAGCAAUAAACAAAUAUCUGUUAGGUCCUUCGUAUAAGAUGACAAGUUCAACUGAACAGCUUUUCUAUCAGUGAGAUUCUGGUAAAGUUCAAUCUCCUCUUGAUCAUUCCUUGUCGGAUUUCAAGAGAGUGUCACACAAGGUAUCAUGGCUUUCAUUGUUGUGCUUUUGCAGUUCUAUGUAAGAUAUAGGAAGGAAAAUAAAUUGUUGCCAUCUUUGACAAUUAA
Long non-coding RNA from Pocillopora damicornis (cauliflower coral), 1083 nucleotides. The record is from RefSeq and is a predicted model, not a curated record. NCBI's taxonomy places the organism in Eukaryota, Metazoa, Cnidaria, Anthozoa, Scleractinia, Pocilloporidae.